Molecule: ribosomal RNA, 678 nt
Filed under: Bacillus licheniformis
Lineage: Bacteria; Bacillati; Bacillota; Bacilli; Caryophanales; Bacillaceae
Description: bacterial SSU rRNA
Rfam family: Bacterial small subunit ribosomal RNA
Source: RNAcentral
GGGAGAAGUCUGACGGAGCAACGCCGCGUGAGUGAUGAAGGUUUUCGGAUCGUACAACUCUGUUGUUAGGGAAGAACAAGUACCGUUCGAAUAGGGCGGUACCUUGACGGUACCUAACCAGAAAGCCACGGCUAACUACGUGCCAGCAGCCGCGGUAAUACGUAGGUGGCAAGCGUUGUCCGGAAUUAUUGGGCGUAAAGCGCGCGCAGGCGGUUUCUUAAGUCUGAUGUGAAAGCCCCCGGCUCAACCGGGGAGGGUCAUUGGAAACUGGGGAACUUGAGUGCAGAAGAGGAGAGUGGAAUUCCACGUGUAGCGGUGAAAUGCGUAGAGAUGUGGAGGAACACCAGUGGCGAAGGCGACUCUCUGGUCUGUAACUGACGCUGAGGCGCGAAAGCGUGGGGAGCGAACAGGAUUAGAUACCCUGGUAGUCCACGCCGUAAACGAUGAGUGCUAAGUGUUAGAGGGUUUCCGCCCUUUAGUGCUGCAGCAAACGCAUUAAGCACUCCGCCUGGGGAGUACGGUCGCAAGACUGAAACUCAAAGGAAUUGACGGGGGCCCGCACAAGCGGUGGAGCAUGUGGUUUAAUUCGAAGCAACGCGAAGAACCUUACCAGGUCUUGACAUCCUCUGACAACCCUAGAGAUAGGGCUUCCCCUUCGGGGGCAGAGUGACAGGUGGU